GCAAACUUGGUCAUUUAGAGGAAGUAAAAGUCGUAACAAGGUUUCCGUAGGUGAACCUGCGGAAGGAUCAUUACAGUGCCAGCGGGAGCGUCGCGGCCGUCCCCCCCAACCCGGGGGGCCGUGUUCGAUCGGCGCCCUGCGACCGGCCCCACACUUGUCUACAGACCGCGUUGCCUCGGCGGGCCCGCCGCUUAGUCGGCCGCCGGGGGGGACUAAAUCUCCCCCCUGGUCAGCGCCCGCCGGAGGACCGAUCGAAAUAUCUUUUUUUAACGAGUUGCAGUCUGAGCGAUAAUCGCAAAUGAAUCAAAACUUUCAACAAUGGAUCUCUUGGUUCCGGCAUCGAUGAAGAACGCAGC
RNAcentral lists this unclassified non-coding RNA (356 nucleotides) under uncultured fungus. RNAcentral describes it as "partial contains small subunit ribosomal RNA, internal transcribed spacer 1, and 5.8S ribosomal RNA". The stretch from base 1 to 73 matches the Rfam family "Eukaryotic small subunit ribosomal RNA", at positions 1759 to 1831 of the family's 1831-position model. Lineage: Eukaryota; Fungi. The record is from RNAcentral.